UAAGACGAACCAAGCAAACGUUGUUCGGAAUCACUGGGCUUAAAGGGCGCGUAGGCGGUCGGCCAAGUCCGGAGUGAAAUCUUUCGGCUCAACCGGAAAAGUGCUUUGGAUACUGGCCGGCUCGAAGGGGGUAGGGGUUGCGGGAACAGCCAGUGGAGCGGUGAAAUGCGUUGAUAUUGGCUGGAACGCCGGUGGCGAAAGCGCGCAACUGGACCUCUCUUGACGCUGAGGCGCGAAAGCUAGGGUAGCGAACGGGAUUAGAUACCCCGGUAGUCCUAGCCCUAAACGAUGGGCACUAGAUUGUGAGCGUGACAUGCGCCCUCAAUCGAAGCAAAAGUGGUUAGUGCCCCGCCUGGGGAGUAUGGUCGCAAGGCUG
Molecule: ribosomal RNA, 376 nt
Filed under: uncultured bacterium
Lineage: Bacteria
Description: bacterial SSU rRNA
Rfam family: Bacterial small subunit ribosomal RNA
Source: RNAcentral